This is a long non-coding RNA of Amphiprion ocellaris (clown anemonefish), 2288 nucleotides long. The record is from Ensembl. Lineage: Eukaryota; Metazoa; Chordata; Actinopteri; Pomacentridae.
UGGAACCCAGGUGAACAGCUUAGCAGAUGUUCAGAGGGAGAUGAUGCCACAUCUGGUCCAGCUGAUGGAAGGUCUUGAAGUUCUCUGACUGGCCUCGACUGAAGAUGGUCGUCUCACUGGAUUUAAGGUUCAGAUGCUCAGUAACAAACUCCACCAAUGAGCCAACAGGGAAGCUUUAGGUUUAUUAAAUGUUGCUGUGAAGGUUUCGCUAUUUUUCUUUGUGAAUGCAAUGUGCUCCAACUGAAACUUGAAUUAGAACUUAGAAGUAAAUCCUUCCAUCUGAAAGGAUUUAGUUGCAAUAAUAACCUCAUAACAUUCUAAUUUUUAUUUCAGUCUUGGUUGAAAAUAGAAUCUCUGUAUUGAUUCAGGUAAAAACUGAACUUCACAGCAUGUUGAAGCAAAACAACCAGAUGAAAACUGUGAUGGUGCUGGAUUGUCAGACCGUAAUGUUGCAGCUCAAAGCAGCUUUUCUAUCUCAGUUCAUUCUGACAUUCAGCUAUGAAUCAACACAGCAGAUGGUGAUCCAUGCUGUGGAAGUCUCACAUCUCCUGAUUUAAUGGAGCUGCUUUGCACUUUUUACACUGUUUAUUCACCAACACUUUAUUUAAUAAAAGUCCCAUCUAGUUUUUAUGAGGAAUGUGGUGUUUUAAUUUCUCUGUGAAUAACUGCGGUCUAAUGUAACAGCUGGAGUUGUAACAUCUGUCCUGAUAUUGAUCAUGAAGUAUUGAUCAGAAUACUUAUGGUCAGCAGUCAUCCCUGAAGUUUUACAUUAAAAUCUUUACUUGUGUUGUGAACUUUGGUACGAAGCAGAAACGUUAGCGUUGCCAUGGAUACAUGAGUGUUAAAUUCUGUCCAUGUUUCCAUUUUGGGAUGCAGUCCAGUUCCAGAAUGUGGAGGAAUUUAGUCUCACAAUCACAGACAACAAAUAUUAACUGAAAGUCAGGUUAUUGUUGUUUAUCAGCACAAUACAAAAAGAUUAAUGUUAGAAAUAUUCCAGUUAAGACUCUAGAAUAUCAUGAUUUAUGUAAAUUUACCUCAAUAAUAUGAAUGUUCAGGUUAAGAUUGUGCAGUGAUAUUUAUUAUGCAAGUUUAGCUGAUUAAAGUUUAUGACUCUGCACUAAAAUAUUAUUUAAAUUGACAUCAUUAUUAUAAUAUUUAGGGUCAGACCCUACAGUAUUGAGAUUAAGAAAUCAAAUAUUCUAUAAAAUGUAAAUACACUGAACUCAUUUGGAUGUAUUUAAGUGAGACUCUACAAUAUUAUUUGACACAAAUCUCUCUAAAUCAAAAUUUUAAUAAUUUUCACACCAAACAUUUACUCGACUGAUUUGAAUAUUAAAAUCACUCCUUUCUAAUCCUCUGCUGUACGUUCAAACCUGAGGCCUUAAAUAGAAACACACAAGUAUCUGUUUGAAGGAACUUCUGUAGAGUCCUGGUUCCAGAACAUGAUGAUAGAAUUAUAGACAAACUUUAACAAAAGCUGCCUGAGAGUUUACAGGUUUUUAUGUUGGAUUUCUUCAGUAAUUUAAUGAGCGUUAUCAGCAAUAAUCAAGUGUUCAUUUGAUGAACUUCAUUUCCUAAAACAUAUAGAAUUGGAGCUCAUAUCUUUGGCAGCUGUAAAGUUUCUGCUCCUUCAAAGAUCACAACACAAUGAAUGAAUUCCUAAAACACUCUCAAUGCUGGAGAGCGUUUGUGAUGCUGAAGCAGUGAUCAGUUUUUCUGUUUCUUCUCUGGAGAUGCACAAUGAGGGACGUCUGCAGAGACUGAGAAAGAGUCUCACCACAUCCUGACAUGAGGAAAAAGACUUUAUUGAAGACUACAAUGAGAAAAACCAUCAGACGGCAUGCAUUCAAGGUGAGCUCUGAACAUUUGAUCUGGAACAGGAAUUCAAUAACUGCAGCAUGAGCUUCAUUUCAGUCUGUAGCUGCUGAAUUCAUGGAUGAAUCAUCUGGCACUAGAGAAGAAGACCAUCAAACAUCCACGUCAGCUGAUGGAGGUCCAAGAGUCUCACCGAACAACCAACCUACAGAGUGAAGACCUCAAAUCUGAUUGGACGGCCUCCUAUUCAGCCACGUGUGAACAAAUGCCUCUAAGUUGAUUUGUUUUCUAAAAUAAAUCUAGUUUGAGUCCUAAUCUAUGCCUGUGUGUUUGCUUCUUUACACUGCUGUUAACAGUUUAGGCUGUUAGAUUGUUCCAGAUAAGACAAGUACAAGAUUCUUCAGAGCCGUUCUACCACGAGCCUGACAGGAAGAACUCCAACAGCUACUGAAUGUUCCUGUGGUUCCCUCAAG